RNAcentral lists this ribosomal RNA (460 nucleotides) under uncultured bacterium. Its description in RNAcentral is "partial 16S ribosomal RNA". It matches the Rfam family "Bacterial small subunit ribosomal RNA", at positions 338 to 795 of the family's 1533-position model. The record is from RNAcentral.
CCUACGGGAGUCAGCAGUGAGGAAUAUUGGUCAAUGGUCGAGAGUCUGAACCAGCCAAGUAGCGUGAAGGAUGACUGCCCUAUGGGUUGUAAACUUCUUUUAUAUGGGAAUAAAACGUUCCACGUGUGGGAUUUUGUAUGUACCAUAUGAAUAAGGAUCGGCUAACUCCGUGCCAGCAGCCGCGGUAAUACGGAGGAUCCGAGCGUUAUCCGGAUUUAUUGGGUUUAAAGGGAGCGUAGGUGGAUUGUUAAGUCAGUUGUGAAAGUUUGCGGCUCAACCGUAAAAUUGCAGUUGAAACUGGCAGUCUUGAGUACAGUAGAGGUGGGCGGAAUUCGUGGUGUAGCGGUGAAAUGCUUAGAUAUCACGAAGAACUCCGAUUGCGAAGGCAGUUCACUGGACUGCAACUGACACUGAGGCUCGAAAGUGUGGGUAUCAAACAGGAUUAGAUACCCUAGUAGUC